This 1364-nucleotide ribosomal RNA is filed under the name uncultured bacterium. RNAcentral's name for it is "bacterial SSU rRNA". It matches the Rfam family "Bacterial small subunit ribosomal RNA", at positions 28 to 1392 of the family's 1533-position model. The record is from RNAcentral.
AUUGAACGCUGGCGGCAGGCCUAACACAUGCAAGUCGAGCGAACCUAGCUUGCUAGGUGAGCGGCGAACGGGUGAGUAACGCGUAGGAAUCUGCCUGGUAGUGGGGGACAACGUUCCGAAAGGAACGCUAAUACCGCAUACGCCCUACGGGGGAAAGCAGGGGAUCUUCGGACCUUGCGCUAUCAGAUGAGCCUGCGUCGGAUUAGCUAGUUGGUGGGGUAAAGGCCUACCAAGGCGACGAUCCGUAACUGGUCUGAGAGGAUGAUCAGUCACACCGGAACUGAGACACGGUCCGGACUCCUACGGGAGGCAGCAGUGGGGAAUAUUGGACAAUGGGGGCAACCCUGAUCCAGCCAUGCCGCGUGUGUGAAGAAGGCCUUCGGGUUGUAAAGCACUUUAGGUCGGGAGGAAGGUUCGCUGGCUAAUAUCCAGCGGAAUUGACGUUACCGACAGAAUAAGCACCGGCUAACUCCGUGCCAGCAGCCGCGGUAAUACGGAGGGUGCGAGCGUUAAUCGGAAUUACUGGGCGUAAAGCGCGCGUAGGCGGCUUGAUAAAUCGGGUGUGAAAUCCCUGGGCUUAACCUGGGAACUGCAUCCGACACUGUCAGGCUAGAGUGUGGGAGAGGGUGACGGAAUUCCCGGUGUAGCGGUGAAAUGCGUAGAUAUCGGGAGGAACAUCAGUGGCGAAAGGCGGUUGCCUGGCCCAACACUGACGCUGAGGUGCGAAAGCGUGGGUAGCAAACAGGAUUAGAUACCCUGGUAGUCCACGCCGUAAACGAUGUCGACUAGCCGUUGGGAACCUUAGAGUUUCUUGUGGCGCAGCUAACGCGAUAAGUCGACCGCCUGGGGAGUACGGCCGCAAGGUUAAAACUCAAAUGAAUUGACGGGGGCCCGCACAAGCGGUGGAGCAUGUGGUUUAAUUCGAUGCAACGCGAAGAACCUUACCACCCCUUGACAUCCUGCGAACUUUCUAGAGAUAGAUUGGUGCCUUCGGGAGCGCAGAGACAGGUGCUGCAUGGCUGUCGUCAGCUCGUGUUGUGAAAUGUUGGGUUAAGUCCCGUAACGAGCGCAACCCUUGUCCUUAGUUGCCAGCGAGUAAUGUCGGGAACUCUAAGGAGACUGCCGGUGACAAACCGGAGGAAGGUGGGGACGACGUCAAGUCAUCAUGGCCCUUACGGGGUGGGCUACACACGUGCUACAAUGGCCGGUACAGACGGUUGCAAACCCGCGAGGGGGAGCCAAUCCGAGAAAACCGGUCGUAGUCCGGAUUGCAGUCUGCAACUCGACUGCAUGAAGUCGGAAUCGCUAGUAAUCGCGAAUCAGCUAUGUCGCGGUGAAUACGUUCCCGGGCCUUGUACACACCG